Molecule: ribosomal RNA, 248 nt
Filed under: uncultured bacterium
Lineage: Bacteria
Description: partial 16S ribosomal RNA
Rfam family: Bacterial small subunit ribosomal RNA
Source: RNAcentral
UACAGAGGGUGCAAGCGUUAAUCGGAAUUACUGGGCGUAAAGCGUGCGUAGACGGUUAUGUAAGUCAGAUGUGAAAGCCCCGGGCUCAACCUGGGAAUUGCAUUUGAGACUGCAUAGCUAGGGUGCGGAAGAGGGAAGCGGAAUUUCCGGUGUAGCGGUGAAAGUGCGUAGAUAUCGGAAGGAACACCAGUGGCGAAAGCGGCUUCCUGGUCCAGCACCGACGUCAGGCACGAAAGCGUGGGGAGCAA